RNAcentral lists this ribosomal RNA (492 nucleotides) under uncultured bacterium. RNAcentral's name for it is "partial 16S ribosomal RNA". It matches the Rfam family "Bacterial small subunit ribosomal RNA", at positions 29 to 507 of the family's 1533-position model. The record is from RNAcentral.
AGUGAACGCUGGCGGUAGGCCUAACACAUGCAAGUCGAACGGCAGCACAGUAAGAGCUUGCUCUUACGGGUGGCGAGUGGCGGACGGGUGAGGAAUACAUCGGAAUCUACUUUUUCGUGGGGGAUAACGUAGGGAAACUUACGCUAAUACCGCAUACGACCUACGUGUGAAAGCAGGGGAUCUUCGGACCUUGCGCGAUUGAAUGAGCCGAUGUCGGAUUAGCUAGUUGGCGGGGUAAAGGCCCACCAAGGCGGCGAUCCGUAGCUGGUCUGAGAGGAUGAUCAGCCACACUGGAACUGAGAAACGGUACAGACUCCUACGGGAGGAAGCAGUGGGGAAUAUUGGACAAUGGGCGAAAGCCUGAUCCAGCCAUACCGCGUGGGUGAAGAAGGCCUUCGGGUUGUAAAGCCCUGUUGUUGGGAAAGAAAAGAAGCAGGUUAAUACCCCGCUGUUAUGACGGUACCCAAAGAAUAAGCACCGGCUAACUUCGUG